AGAGUUUGAUCCUGGCUCAGGAUGAACGCUAGCGGUGUGCCUAAUGCAUGCAAGUCGAACGGGAACCUUUGGAUUCGUCUGAAGGGGAGAGUGGCGAACGGGUGAGUAACACGUAGGUGGCCCACCCCAGAGAGGGGGACAACCACUGGAAACGGUGGCUAAUACCCCAGAUGUUAUACUGCUUAGAAAGGUAUGACUAAAGCUCCGGCGCUCUGGGAGGGGCCUGCGGCCCAUCAGCUAGUUGGUGGGGUAACAGCCUACCAAGGCUAAGACGGGUAGGGGGCGUGAGAGCGUGACCCCCCACACUGGUACUGAGACACGGACCAGAUACCUGCGGGUAGCAGCAGCAAGGAAUAUUGCGCAAUGGGCGAAAGCCUGACGCAGCAACACCGCGUGGAGGAUGAAGGUCUUCGGAUUGUAAACUCCUUUUCUGGGGGAAGAGAAAGGACGGUACCCCAGGAAUAAGUCUCGGCUAACUACGUGCCAGCAGCCGCGGUAAAACGUAGGAGGCGAGCGUUAUCCGGAUUUACUGGGCGUAAAGCGCAUGCAGGCGGUUUUCUAAGUCGGACGUGAAAGCUCCUGGCUCAACUAGGAGGGGCCGUUCGAAACUAGGAGACUUGAGGAUGGUAGAGGAGAGUGGAAUUCCCGGUGUAGUGGUGAAAUGCGUAGAUAUCGGGAGGAACACCAGUGGCGAAGGCGGCUCUCUGGGCCAUUCCUGACGCUCAGAUGCGAAAGCUAGGGGAGAGAACGGGAUUAGAAACCCCGGUAUUCCUAGCCGUAAACGAUGUCAACUAGGCGUAGGAGGUCAUUUACCCCUUCUGUGCUGUAGCUAACGCGUUAAGUUGACCGCCUGGGGACUACGGCCGCAAGGCUAAAACUCAAAGGAAUUGACGGGGACCCGCACAAGCAGCGGAGCGUGUGGUUUAAUUCGAGGCUACACGAAGAACCUUACCAGGGCUUGACAUGUACGUGGUAGAGAACUGAAAAGGGAUCGACCCUUCGGGGAGCGUACACAGGUGCUGCAUGGCUGUCGUCAGCUCGUGUCGUGAGAUGUUGGGUUAAGUCCCGUAACGAGCGCAACCCUUGUCCUUAGUUGCCAGCGGUUCGGCCGGGAACUCUAAGGAGACUGCCGGUGAUAAACCGGAGGAAGGUGGGGAUGACGUCAAGUCAUCAUGGCCCUUAUAGGCUGGGCUACACACGUGCUACAAUGGUCGGUACAGAGGGUUGCAAAGCGGCGACGUGGAGCCAAUCUCAGAAAACCGAUCGUAGUCCGGAUUGCAGUCUGCAACUCGACUGCAUGAAGUCGGAAUCGCUAGUAAUCGCGAAUCAGAAUGUCGCGGUGAAUACGUUCCCGGGCCUUGUACACACCGCCCGUCACACCAUGGGAGUUGGUUGCACCAGAAGUGGGUAGCUUAACCUUCGGGAGAGCGCUCACCACGGUGUGGUCAAUGACUGGGGUGAAGUCGUAACAAGGUA
This 1476-nucleotide ribosomal RNA is filed under the name uncultured sediment bacterium. RNAcentral describes it as "bacterial SSU rRNA". It matches the Rfam family "Bacterial small subunit ribosomal RNA". The record is from RNAcentral.